This 403-nucleotide ribosomal RNA is filed under the name Verrucomicrobiota bacterium. RNAcentral's name for it is "Verrucomicrobia bacterium partial 16S ribosomal RNA". It matches the Rfam family "Bacterial small subunit ribosomal RNA", at positions 355 to 776 of the family's 1533-position model. Lineage: Bacteria; Pseudomonadati; Verrucomicrobiota. The record is from RNAcentral.
UGGGGAAUAUUGCACAAUGGGGGAAACCCUGAUGCAGCGACGCCGCGUGAGCGAAGAAGGCUUUCGAAUCGUAAAGCUCUGUCCUAUGAGAAGAUAAUGACGGUAUCAUAGGAGGAAGCCCCGGCUAAAUACGUGCCAGCAGCCGCGGUAAUACGUAAGGUCCGAGCGUUGUCCGGAAUCAUUGGGCGUAAAGGGUACGUAGGCGGAUAAGCAAGUUAGAAGUGAAAUCCUAUAGCUCAACUAUAGUAAGCUUUUAAAACUGCUCAUCUUGAGGUAUGGAAGGGGAAGUGGAAUUCCUAGUGUAGCGGUGAAAUGCGCAGAUAUUAGGAGGAAUACCGGUGGCGAAGGCGACUUUCUGGCCAUAUACUGACGCUGAGGUACGAAAGCGUGGGUAGCAAACAGG